RNAcentral lists this ribosomal RNA (497 nucleotides) under uncultured bacterium. RNAcentral's name for it is "partial 16S ribosomal RNA". It matches the Rfam family "Bacterial small subunit ribosomal RNA", at positions 28 to 507 of the family's 1533-position model. The record is from RNAcentral.
GAUGAACGCUGGCGGCGUGCCUAAUACAUGCAAGUCGAGCGAACGGACGAGAAGCUUGCUUCUCUGAUGUUAGCGGCGGACGGGUGAGUAACACGUGGAUAACCUACCUAUAAGACUGGGAUAACUUCGGGAAACCGUAGCUAAUACCGGAUAAUAUUUUGAACCGCAUGGUUCAAAAGUGAAAGACGGUCUUGCUGUCACUUAUAGAUGGAUCCGCGCUGCAUUAGCUAGUUGGUAAGGUAACGGCUUACCAAGGCAACGAUGCAUAGCCGACCUGAGAGGGUGAUCGGCCAUACUGGAACUGAGACACGGUCCAGACUCCUACGGGAGGCAGCAGUAGGGAAUCUUCCGCAAUGGGCGAAAGCCUGACGGAGCAACGCCGCGUGAGUGAUGAAGGUCUUCGGAUCGUAAAACUCUGUUAUUAGGGAAGAACAUAUGUGUAAGUAACUGUGCACAUCUUGACGGUACCUAAUCAGAAAGCCACGGCUAACUACGUG